GGCUUAGUGGUCUAGUGGUAUGAUUCCUGCUUCGGGCUUCACGAAAAUCCCUUCCGUCUUACACGGGAAUGCAGGAGGCCCCGGGUUCGAAUCCCGGCUGAGCCC
Non-coding RNA from Xylaria sp. CBS 124048, 105 nucleotides. NCBI's taxonomy places the organism in Eukaryota, Fungi, Ascomycota, Sordariomycetes, Xylariales, Xylariaceae. The record is from the annotation of a GenBank genome assembly.